GAUGAACGCUGGCGGCGUGCUUAACACAUGCAAGUCGAACGGAAAGGCCCAAGCUUGCUUGGGUACUCGAGUGGCGAACGGGUGAGUAACACGUGGGUGAUCUGCCCUGCACUUCGGGAUAAGCCUGGGAAACUGGGUCUAAUACCGGAUAGGACCACAUUUUGGAUGGUGUGGUGGAAAGUUUUUCGGUGUGGGAUGGGCUCGCGGCCUAUCAGCUUGUUGGUGGGGUAAUGGCCUACCAAGGCGUCGACGGGUAGCCGGCCUGAGAGGGUGUACGGCCAUAUGGGGACUGGAAUCGCGCCCAGACUCCAACGGGGGCAAGCAGUGGGGAUGUUGCAAAAAGGGGCGCAAUCUUUAUGCAGCGACGCCGCGGGGGGAAUCACGGCCUUGGUUUUGUAACCUCUUUUCGCGGGGGAAACAGCGAAAGUGCGGUUACGUGCAAAAGAGCCGCGGGCAAACCACGUG
RNAcentral lists this ribosomal RNA (465 nucleotides) under uncultured bacterium. RNAcentral's name for it is "partial 16S ribosomal RNA". It matches the Rfam family "Bacterial small subunit ribosomal RNA", at positions 28 to 507 of the family's 1533-position model. The record is from RNAcentral.